Molecule: ribosomal RNA, 253 nt
Filed under: uncultured bacterium
Lineage: Bacteria
Description: partial 16S ribosomal RNA
Rfam family: Bacterial small subunit ribosomal RNA
Source: RNAcentral
UACGUAGGGGGCAAGCGUUGUCCGGAUUUAUUGGGCGUAAAGAGCUCGUAGGCGGCCGUCCACGUCGGAUGUGAAAGCUCGGGGCUCAACCCUGAGAGGCCAUUCGAUACGGGACGGCUAGAGGCAGGUAGGGGAAAGUGGAACUCCUGGUGUAGCGGUGAAAUGCGCAGAUAUCAGGAAGAACAACGGUGGCGAAGGCGGCUUUCUGGGCCUUGCCUGACGCUGAGGAGCGAAAGCUGGGGGAGCGAACAGG